CAUCGCCUGGCUGGAGGGCUGCUGAGAUUGCCUGGAGUCUCUGGGCCUUUUUCUUUGCAGCCCUCUACAUUGGGACUCCCUCGCUGAAUCAAGCUGCCAUGCCUUCCCUUUCUUCUAAGCAAACACAAUGUCCUCUGAGAGGCCUGUGCAACCUUAUUUUCUCCGCAGAGGAAUGUUAAUACCACCAAUCAAAGACAAAGCCAAACAAUGCUGUAUAUCAGGAAACAUGUAUGGUGUGCCCAAAGACCAGCAAGUUAAUUUAUAAGGGUGUGACAUCUGAUGUAAAUUGAUCUGCAAUUAAUCUCAGCCUCAUGUAGGACAACAGAUUUCAAGUAUGCUGAACAAAACCUGCCCUCAAAACAAUAAAUAAUCUCUUUGAUUCUACUGCACAAGAAGGU
Molecule: long non-coding RNA, 398 nt
Organism: Alligator sinensis (Chinese alligator)
Lineage: Eukaryota; Metazoa; Chordata; Crocodylia; Alligatoridae
Exons: 3
Source: RefSeq, a predicted model, not a curated record